Molecule: long non-coding RNA, 1689 nt
Organism: Lepisosteus oculatus (spotted gar)
Lineage: Eukaryota; Metazoa; Chordata; Actinopteri; Semionotiformes; Lepisosteidae
Source: Ensembl
CAAAAGUUCCGACUCGUCGGCUGGACAGAGCUCAUCUCUGAGCAUUUGCGCCGCGGGCUGAUCCUGAAGCAGACGAUCGUCUCCCGGCUAAAGGCGGCGGAGAUGAGAAUAGACGCCCUUGAGAAGAUCCAGGUGGCGGACGGCCGGGGAAAGGCAGCGAGCCGGCGCCCCAGUCCUCCCCGCUGCGACUGCGUCUGCCAUCGCUUGGAAGCCUAUGAGGGCAGCCAGGAGUCCAACGUCGACUCGUCGGAGGACAGCGCCGCCUGAAGCUUCGCCGAGAACGAGAGAGAAAAGGAUACUCAAAAACGUAUAAAGUCACCUUAUAAUAAAAAAAAAUACAAUUCGGUUAUUUUAUAUUGUUUUUAUACACGGAUUUGCAUUUUAAUGUUGAAAUUAAAAUGUGCGAAUCUGAUGUGUGGUGAGCGAACUGACGCGCUUGGCUGCCGUCGCAUCAUCCAGGUAGGGGCUACACAUGCAGGUGCAGGUGUUGGUGGAGGGGAAUCCCGUUACAUGUAAAGCACAUUGAGGGUUCAAGAAAAGCACUAAAUAAGUGUAAGGGUAUAUAUAUAUGAAAUGUAAAGAACUUUAUCUCUGUUCUAUUGAAUUGGUGUGAAAACGGCAGGAAAUCUCUUUCUGUAUUUUUAAUUUUGAAGCAGAUACCUACAAAAAAAAUGUACUAGUCCUCUUGUAAAUAAAUGCGUAUCUGGUAUGGAAAAAUCAAUCAAUAAUUUAGAGGUAUUCUAAACCACUGUAAGCUACUAUUUGUGGGCCCUUUCUUCUGUAAACAUUUAAAGUGACAUCUAUGAACUCUGGGCUUUCUCUACUUUUAUAUCAUUAUCUCACAGUUUGAGCAUUGCGAAAGACAAUGACAAAUGACAAAUCCUCAUAUCUUCUGAACCCCUUUCUGUGCAGUACAGAUGUAAUGGGAAAUACUGCACUUCACCCUCACUGGGAUUUGUGACAUGUGAUGCCAUCACAAUGGGCUGAUGAGGGCUGUUCGCCUCUUGGAUUUUGAACAGGUGAUUGGUGGAAAGCAGAAGACUGAAAUGGCUUGCUCGCAGCACUGCAAGCUACCAGCAUGGUCAAGGGUGGGAAUGGAGAUCACCCCAGAUGAUCUUAAGGAAACACUUGCUAACAAACCGAGCGAAGGUCUGUACGUGACAUCGGGGCCACCAUGUCCCUUCCUGAUGGCCUGCCUUGCUGCUGUUUUUUUCUGCAUAUUGUCGUUGUGCCUGUACAUCAGACUUACGAAGAAGAAACAAGAAAAGCCCCUCUCUGCAUGGAGUGUCAGCAUGUCAGGUAUCCCCAGUGAGUUCAAGGUCCUGUAUCAGGGGCUCAUUUUACAAGAGAUGAUCUUCCAGCGGAUUGGGGCUAUGGAGCUCAGGAUCGAGUCCAUCGAGGACUUUCUAGCGGGGCUGUGGCACAGAAGGUCGUCAGGAGACAAGAGGAGGAAGGACAAGACAGGGGAGCAGUCAUCAGGAAAGGAAACAAUGAGGUUCUCCGACAGCUUCUCGGAGUGAACCCAUUCCUGGUCCCUUCUGACCACCAUAUUGGCGGCCCAAUAAAAAAUCCCACUGAAGUUACUGCAAAUGAGUGUUGGCACAUUGUUAUGAAAAGGAGUUUAAAAGGAAAUGUGCAUGUACAUAUUGAAUUCCUUCAGCACAAUUUAAAAAUAAAAUCCGAGUUUUU